Long non-coding RNA from Eriocheir sinensis (Chinese mitten crab), 384 nucleotides. RefSeq lists it as uncharacterized. The transcript has 3 exons. Lineage: Eukaryota; Metazoa; Arthropoda; Malacostraca; Decapoda; Varunidae. The record is from RefSeq and is a predicted model, not a curated record.
UGUUUCGUUUCUACAUUUUCUUCAUUCUGGUGUUCUUUUUCAUUUUCAUUUUCAUUUUGGUGUUCCCAUCACGUGGAUGUCUACGACAUCUGACGAGCUCCACCUGCCCGGGUUUGUUGUUUGGAGUUUGCUCUCCUAGGCAGACUGCCUACCACGGCUAACGAGCUCCACCUGCCCGGGUUUGUUGUUCGGAGUUUGCUCUCCUAGGUGAACUGCCUACCACGGCUAACGAGCUCCACCUGCCCGGGUUUAUUGUUCGGAGUUUGCUCUCCUAGGCAGACUGCCUACCACGGCUAACGAGCUCCACCUGCCCGGGUUUGUUGUUCGGAGUUUGCUCUCCUAGGUGAAUUGCCUACCACGGCUAACGAGCUCCACCUGCCCGGG